Molecule: ribosomal RNA, 578 nt
Filed under: uncultured Acidobacteriota bacterium
Lineage: Bacteria; Pseudomonadati; Acidobacteriota
Description: SSU rRNA
Rfam family: Bacterial small subunit ribosomal RNA
Source: RNAcentral
AGACUCCUACGGGAGGCAGCAGUGGGGAAUCUUGCACAAUGGGGGAAAGCCUGAUGCAGCGACGCCGCGUGGGGGAUGAAGCUUUUCGGAGUGUAAACCCCUUUCGACCCGGACGAAUGCCCCGCAAGGGGACUGACGGUACGGGUAUAAGAAGCCCCGGCUAACUACGUGCCAGCAGCCGCGGUAAGACGUAGGGGGCCAGCGUUGCUCGGAAUUACUGGGUGUAAAGGGUUCGUAGGCGGUGCGGCAAGUUGGGAGUGAAAUCUCUGGGCUCAACCCAGAGGCUGCUUCCAAAACUGCUGUGCUUGAGUGUGGGAGAGGCGCGUGGAAUUGCAGGUGUAGCGGUGAAAUGCGUAGAUAUCUGCAGGAACACCCGUGGCGAAAGCGGCGCGCUGGACCACAACUGACGCUGAGGAACGAAAGCUAGGGGAGCAAACAGGAUUAGAUACCCUGGUAGUCCUAGCCCUAAACGAUCAGGACUUGGGGUGCUUCACGUUCGUGGAGCGUCCCGGAGCUAACGCGUUAAGUCCUGCACCUGGGGAGUACGGUCGCAAGACUGAAACUCAAAGGAAUUGACG